AGCGAACGCUGGCGGCAGGCUUAACACAUGCAAGUCGAGCGGGCACUUCGGUGUCAGCGGCAGACGGGUGGGUAACACGUGGGAACGUACCCUUUGGUUCGGAAUAACGCUGGGAAACUAGCGCUAAUACCGGAUACGCCCUUUUGGGGUAAGGCUUGCUGCCGCAGGAUCGGCCCGCGUCUGAUUCGCUAGUUGGUGGGGUAAUGGCCUACCAACGCGACGAUCAGUAGCUGGUCUGAGAGGAUGAUCAGCCACACUGGGACUGAGACACGGCCCAGACUCCUACGGGAGGCAGCAGUGGGGAAUAUUGGACAAUGGGCGCAAGCCUGAUCCAGCCAUGCCGCGUGAGUGAUGAAGGCCUUAGGGUUGUAAAGCUCUUUUGUCCGGGACGAUAAUGACGGUACCGGAAGAAGAAGCCCCGGCUAACUUCGUG
RNAcentral lists this ribosomal RNA (433 nucleotides) under uncultured bacterium. RNAcentral's name for it is "partial 16S ribosomal RNA". It matches the Rfam family "Bacterial small subunit ribosomal RNA", at positions 29 to 507 of the family's 1533-position model. The record is from RNAcentral.